Molecule: ribosomal RNA, 265 nt
Filed under: uncultured bacterium
Lineage: Bacteria
Description: partial 16S ribosomal RNA
Rfam family: Bacterial small subunit ribosomal RNA
Source: RNAcentral
GUCCACGCCGUAAACGAUGAAUGCCAGUCGUCGGCAAGCAUGCUUGUCGGUGACACACCUAACGGAUUAAGCAUUCCGCCUGGGGAGUACGGUCGCAAGAUUAAACUCAAAGGAAUUGACGGGGGCCCGCACAAGCGGUGGAGCAUGUGGUUUAAUUCGAAGCAACGCGCAGAACCUUACCAACCCUUGACAUGGGUAUCGCGGAUUUCAGAGAUGAUUUCCUUCAGUUCGGCUGGAUACCACACAGGUGCUGCAUGGCUGUCGU